RNAcentral lists this ribosomal RNA (474 nucleotides) under uncultured bacterium. RNAcentral's name for it is "bacterial SSU rRNA". It matches the Rfam family "Bacterial small subunit ribosomal RNA", at positions 328 to 793 of the family's 1533-position model. The record is from RNAcentral.
GCAGAGCACUCCUCGGGAGGCAGCAGUGGGGAAUAUUGCACAAUGGGCGCAAGCCUGAUGCAGCCAUGCCGCGUGUAUGAAGAAGGCCUUCGGGUUGUAAAGUACUUUCAGCAGUGAGGAAGGUGGGUAUGUUAAUAGCAUAUUCAUUUGACGUUAGCUGCAGAAGAAGCACCGGCUAACUCCGUGCCAGCAGCCGCGGUAAUACGGAGGGUGCGAGCGUUAAUCGGAAUUACUGGGCGUAAAGCGCAUGCAGGUGGUUUGUUAAGUCAGAUGUGAAAGCCCCGGGGCUCAACCUCGGAAUUGCAUUUGAAACUGGCAAACUAGAGUACUGUAGAGGGGGGUAGAAUUUCAGGUGUAGCGGUGAAAUGCGUAGAGAUCUGAAGGAAUACCGGUGGCGAAGGCGGCCCCCCUGGACAGAUACUGACACUCAGAUGCGAAAGCGUGGGGAGCAAACAGGAUUAGAUACCCUGGUAG